GUGCUCGUUUUGGCAACACAUCUACUAAAAUUGGAACAAUACAGUAAAGAAUAGCAUGGCACUUGCCCAAGGAUGACAUGUUGGUUCAUGUGAUCUGGCCGCUAAAAUU
Small nuclear RNA from Suricata suricatta (meerkat), 109 nucleotides. NCBI's taxonomy places the organism in Eukaryota, Metazoa, Chordata, Mammalia, Carnivora, Herpestidae. The record is from Ensembl.